AUGGCGUCAGGAUGAACGCUGGCGGCGUGCUUAACACAUGCAAGUCGAACGAAGCACUCUAUUUGAUUCCUUCGGGAUUGAUUAUUUGUGACUGAGUGGCGGACGGGUGAGUAACGCGUGGGUAACCUACCUUGUACAGGGGGAUAACAGUUGGAAACGACUGCUAAUACCGCAUAAGCGCACGGCAUCGCAUGAUGCAGUGUGAAAAGCUCCGACGGUAUAAGAUGGACCCGCGUCUGAUUAGCUAGUUGGUGAGGUAACGGCCCACCAAGGCGACGAUCAGUAGCCGACCUGAGAGGGUGACCGGCCACAUUGGGACUGAGACACGGCCCAAACUCCUACGGGAGGCAGCAGUGGGGAAUAUUGGACAAUGGGGGAAACCCUGAUCCAAGCGACGCCGCGUGAACGAUGAAGUAUUUCGGUAUGUAAAGUUCUAUCAGCAGGGAAGAUAAUGACGGUACCUGACUAAGAAGCACCGGCUAAAUACGUGCCAGCCGCCGC
This 501-nucleotide ribosomal RNA is filed under the name uncultured bacterium. Its description in RNAcentral is "bacterial SSU rRNA". It matches the Rfam family "Bacterial small subunit ribosomal RNA", at positions 18 to 518 of the family's 1533-position model. The record is from RNAcentral.